This 1009-nucleotide long non-coding RNA is filed under the name Homo sapiens (human). RNAcentral describes it as "HSALNT0174438". The record is from RNAcentral. Lineage: Eukaryota; Metazoa; Chordata; Mammalia; Primates; Hominidae.
GGAAGGUCUGGCUCCUUCUCCUUCUCCUUCUACUUAGUCCAGAAGAUGCUCUGCAAAGCCCACUUGGAAUAUUGUUGAGUUGAUCUGAACUGUUCUGGAGAAAGACACAGAGGAAUGAAGUGGUUUCUAUGGCCACAUCACUUGGUGGCAGAACAAACUAAAUUCUCUACCCUGGGCAUGAUGAACUCCAAUACGGAGUAAAUGUGCCUUUGCUGCCUGCCAGCUGCCAGCUUCCACUUCCUCCCCACAAGACAAAUGCAUAUGAAGACGGUAUGCGCUCGUCUGGCCUCAUUUAGGUUUUUGUUAGUCAUCCCUGCUGUCGCUGGCCUGUGACCUUGGAAGGACUAUUUGAGCAGCUUGAAUGGAGUGAUCAGCAGAAGAAAGAAGAAAUUUGAACACACAAAGGACAAGUGCAGAGACAGAGGGAUGACCAUGUGAGGACACGGCAAAGAAGCCAACAUAACACAGAGACUGAGACUCUGAGGAAUGUGAUAUGGAGAUGGAAAAAUGGGAGGAAGAAACAUGGCUCAGAAAGAUCAAAUGAUUUGUUCACAGUCAUACAGAUAUUAAAGGACACUUUGGGAUUUGAACAAAUUAUGAUUAAAUAAAAAAUUGGCCUUUUCAACCAUGUAGUAUAAUCAGUCUUGCCAAGAAAUUCAAUGAGGUGCUAUAUUAGAUCUUUGGAAUCAGACCUCGGCUCAAGUCCUUGCUCCACUAUUUCUUCCUUAAAGUAUCUAUACCUUAGUUGUCUCUUCACUAAAAUGGAGACAUGUGCCAUACCUUUGACAUGUUAUUCCUAGGAUGAGAUAAUUUAUACAUCUUAAAUUCUUCAGCAGUUUCUGUUCCUGCAGGCAAGGAUGCUUGAGAAAAAUAUGAGAAAACUACAGAAACAACUCAAAACUUUUCUGACUUCCUUAAAAGAACAUCUCCACGGAGGUUUACAGUGAGCUGGUAACAGAGCUGCUGCACUCCAGCCUGGGUGACAGAGUGAGACUGUCUAAAAAAAAAU